RNAcentral lists this ribosomal RNA (2927 nucleotides) under Cronobacter sakazakii. RNAcentral describes it as "23S ribosomal RNA". It matches the Rfam family "Bacterial large subunit ribosomal RNA". Lineage: Bacteria; Pseudomonadati; Pseudomonadota; Gammaproteobacteria; Enterobacterales; Enterobacteriaceae. The record is from RNAcentral.
GGGUUGUGAGGUUAAGCGAACAAGCGUACACGGUGGAUGCCCUGGCAGUCAGAGGCGAUGAAGGACGUGCUAAUCUGCGAAAAGCGCCGGUAAGGUGAUAUGAACCGUUAUAACCGGCGAUGUCCGAAUGGGGAAACCCGGUGCACUUCGGUGCAUCAUCGUUAGCUGAAUACAUAGGCUAACGAGGCGAACCGGGGGAACUGAAACAUCUAAGUACCCCGAGGAAAAGAAAUCAACCGAGAUUCCCCCAGUAGCGGCGAGCGAACGGGGAACAGCCCAGAGCCUGAAUCAGCUUGUGUGUCAGUGGAACGGUCUGGAAAGGCCGGCGAUACAGGGUGACAGCCCCGUACACGAAGGCACACAGGCUGUGAGCUCGAUGAGUAGGGCGGGACACGUGAUAUCCUGUCUGAAGAUGGGGGGACCAUCCUCCAAGGCUAAAUACUCCUGACUGACCGAUAGUGAACCAGUACCGUGAGGGAAAGGCGAAAAGAACCCCGGCGAGGGGAGUGAAACAGAACCUGAAACCGUGUACGUACAAGCAGUGGGAGCCUUCGUAAGAGGGUGACUGCGUACCUUUUGUAUAAUGGGUCAGCGACUUAUAUUCUGUAGCAAGGUUAACCGUAUAGGGGAGCCGAAGGGAAACCGAGUCUUAACCGGGCGUUAAGUUGCAGGGUAUAGACCCGAAACCCGGUGAUCUAGCCAUGGGCAGGUUGAAGGUUGGGUAACACUAACUGGAGGACCGAACCGACUAAUGUUGAAAAAUUAGCGGAUGACCUGUGGCUGGGGGUGAAAGGCCAAUCAAACCGGGAGAUAGCUGGUUCUCCCCGAAAGCUAUUUAGGUAGCGCCUCGUGAAUUCAUCUCCGGGGGUAGAGCACUGUUUCGGCUAGGGGGCCAUCCCGGCUUACCAACCCGAUGCAAACUGCGAAUACCGGAGAAUGUUAUCACGGGAGACACACGGCGGGUGCUAACGUCCGUCGUGAAGAGGGAAACAACCCAGACCGCCAGCUAAGGUCCCAAAGUCAUGGUUAAGUGGGAAACGAUGUGGGAAGGCCCAGACAGCCAGGAUGUUGGCUUAGAAGCAGCCAUCAUUUANNNNNNNNNNNNNNNNNNNNNNNNNNNNNNNNNNNNNNNNNNNNNNNNNNNNNNNNNNNNNNNNNNNNNNNNNNNNNNNNNNNNNNNCUCUGUGUUGUUGGGUAGGGGAGCGUUCUGUAAGCCUGCGAAGGUGUGCUGUGAGGCAUGCUGGAGGUAUCAGAAGUGCGAAUGCUGACAUAAGUAACGAUAAAGCGGGUGAAAAGCCCGCUCGCCGGAAGACCAAGGGUUCCUGUCCAACGUUAAUCGGGGCAGGGUGAGUCGACCCCUAAGGCGAGGCCGAAAGGCGUAGUCGAUGGGAAACAGGUUAAUAUUCCUGUACUUGGUGUUACUGCGAAGGGGGGACGGAGAAGGCUAUGUCGGCCGGGCGACGGUUGUCCCGGUUUAAGCGUGUAGGCUGACUUUCCAGGCAAAUCCGGAAGGUUAAGGCUGAGGCGUGAUGACGAGGCACCACGGUGCUGAAGUGACAAAUGCCCUGCUUCCAGGAAAAGCCUCUAAGCAUCAGGUAACAUCAAAUCGUACCCCAAACCGACACAGGUGGUCAGGUAGAGAAUACCAAGGCGCUUGAGAGAACUCGGGUGAAGGAACUAGGCAAAAUGGUGCCGUAACUUCGGGAGAAGGCACGCUGACAUGUAGGUGAAGCCCCUGCGGGUGGAGCUGAAGUCAGUCGAAGAUACCAGCUGGCUGCAACUGUUUAUUAAAAACACAGCACUGUGCAAACACGAAAGUGGACGUAUACGGUGUGACGCCUGCCCGGUGCCGGAAGGUUAAUUGAUGGGGUUAUCGCAAGAGAAGCUCCUGAUCGAAGCCCCGGUAAACGGCGGCCGUAACUAUAACGGUCCUAAGGUAGCGAAAUUCCUUGUCGGGUAAGUUCCGACCUGCACGAAUGGCGUAAUGAUGGCCAGGCUGUCUCCACCCGAGACUCAGUGAAAUUGAACUCGCUGUGAAGAUGCAGUGUACCCGCGGCAAGACGGAAAGACCCCGUGAACCUUUACUACAGCUUGACACUGAACAUUGAGCCUUGAUGUGUAGGAUAGGUGGGAGGCUUUGAAGCGUGGACGCCAGUCUGCGUGGAGCCAACCUUGAAAUACCACCCUUUAAUGUUUGAUGUUCUAACCUGGCGCCGUGAUCCGGCGUGGGGACAGUGUCUGGUGGGUAGUUUGACUGGGGCGGUCUCCUCCCAAAGUGUAACGGAGGAGCACGAAGGUCAGCUAAUCCUGGUCGGACAUCAGGAGGUUAGUGCAAUGGCAUAAGCUGGCUUGACUGCGAGAGUGACGGCUCGAGCAGGUGCGAAAGCAGGUCAUAGUGAUCCGGUGGUUCUGUAUGGAAGGGCCAUCGCUCAACGGAUAAAAGGUACUCCGGGGAUAACAGGCUGAUACCGCCCAAGAGUUCAUAUCGACGGCGGUGUUUGGCACCUCGAUGUCGGCUCAUCACAUCCUGGGGCUGAAGUAGGUCCCAAGGGUAUGGCUGUUCGCCAUUUAAAGUGGUACGCGAGCUGGGUUUAGAACGUCGUGAGACAGUUCGGUCCCUAUCUGCCGUGGGCGCUGGAGAAUUGAGGGGGGCUGCUCCCAGUACGAGAGGACCGGAGUGGACGCAUCACUGGUGUUCGGGUUGUCAUGCCAAUGGCACUGCCCGGUAGCUAAAUGCGGAAGAGAUAAGUGCUGAAAGCAUCUAAGCACGAAACUUGCCCCGAGAUGAGUUCUCCCUGAGACUGUAAGUCUCCUGAAGGAACGUUGAAGACGACGACGUUGAUAGGCCGGGUGUGUAAGCGCAGCGAUGCGUUGAGCUAACCGGUACUAAUGAACCGUGAGGCUUAACCUUACAACGCCAAAGAAGU